RNAcentral lists this ribosomal RNA (438 nucleotides) under Rothia dentocariosa. Its description in RNAcentral is "bacterial SSU rRNA". It matches the Rfam family "Bacterial small subunit ribosomal RNA", at positions 28 to 474 of the family's 1533-position model. Lineage: Bacteria; Bacillati; Actinomycetota; Actinomycetes; Micrococcales; Micrococcaceae. The record is from RNAcentral.
GACGAACGCUGGCGGCGUGCUUAACACAUGCAAGUCGAACGAUGAAGCCUAGCUUGCUAGGUGGAUUAGUGGCGAACGGGUGAGUAAUACGUGAGUGACCUACCUUUGACUCUGGGAUAAGCCUGGGAAACUGGGUCUAAUACCGGAUACGACCAAUCUCCGCAUGGGGUGUUGGUGGAAAGCGUCAUGGAGUGGUUUUAGAUGGGCUCACGGCCUAUCAGCUUGUUGGUGAGGUAAUGGCUUACCAAGGCGACGACGGGUAGCCGGCCUGAGAGGGUGACCGGCCACACUGGGACUGAGACACGGCCCAGACUCCUACGGGAGGCAGCAGUGGGGAAUAUUGCACAAUGGGCGCAAGCCUGAUGCAGCGACGCCGCGUGAGGGAUGACGGCCUUCGGGUUGUAAACCUCUGUUAGCAUCGAAGAAGCGAAAGUGACG